AAAAAAAAAAAAAAAAAACCCAGGAGGUCUAAUCAACUUUGAACAAAGAUUAUGUCAACUGAUACAAGAAAAAGAGAGUUGCUAUAUAAAAUAUCAUUCUCAGGCUUUCAUGGAUCCUUCAUUUUAUUACAGAAAAAUAUGGUAUUGAAGAACUAACCAUCAAGCAAGAGCGGGGAAUUCAACUCCCAAAAAUCUAAUUAUGAUAUCUCUCUCUCUCUCUCUUUCAAAAGAGAUGUACAUGAAUGAAAUCUUAAUAUGAUGUGUAGG
Molecule: unclassified non-coding RNA, 267 nt
Filed under: Hevea brasiliensis (rubber tree)
Lineage: Eukaryota; Viridiplantae; Streptophyta; Magnoliopsida; Malpighiales; Euphorbiaceae
Source: RNAcentral